AGAGUUUGAUCAUGGCUCAGAUUGAACGCUGGCGGUAUGCUUAACACAUGCAAGUCGAACGGUAACAGCGGAAGCUUGCUUCCGGCUGACGAGUGGCGGACGGGUGAGUAACGCGUGGGAAUCUGCCUACUAGCGGGGGAUAGCCCGGAGAAAUCCGGAUUAAUACCGCAUACGCCCUUAGGGGGAAAGCUGGGGAUCUUCGGACCUGGCACUAGUAGAUGAGCCCGCGUUGGAUUAGCUAGUUGGUGGGGUAAUGGCCUACCAAGGCGACGAUCCAUAGCUGUUCUGAGAGGAAGAUCAGCCACACUGGGACUGAGACACGGCCCAGACUCUACGGGAGGCAGCAGUGGGGAAUAUUGCACAAUGGGCGCAAGCCUGAUGCAGCAAUACCGCGUGUGUGAAGAAGGCCUGAGGGUUGUAAAGCACUCUCAAUAGUGAAGAAAAGCUCAUGGUUAAUACCCGUGGGUCUUGACGUUAUCUAUACAAGAAGCACCGGCUAACUCCGUGCCAGCAGCCGCGGUAAUACGGAGGUUGCAAGCGUUAAUCGGAAUUACUGGGCGUAAAGCGUGCGUAGGCGGUUUACUAAGUCAGAUGUGAAAGCCCCGGGCUUAACCUGGGAACUGCAUUUGAUACUGGUAGGCUAGAGUAUGAUAGAGGGGGGUAGAAUUCCUGGUGUAGCGGUGAAAUGCGUAGAUAUCAGGAGGAAUACCAGUGGCGAAGGCGGCCCCCUGGAUCAAUACUGACGCUGAGGUACGAAAGCGUGGGUAGCGAACAGGAUUAGAUACCCUGGUAGUCCACGCCGUAAACGAUGAGAACUAGCCGUUGGGGUCUUGAGGCCUCGGUGGCGCAGCUAACGCGUGAAGUUCUCCGCCUGGGGACUACGGCCGCAAGGCUAAAACUCAAAUGAAUUGACGGGGGCCCGCACAAGCGGUGGAGCAUGUGGUUUAAUUCGAUGCAACGCGAAGAACCUUACCACCCCUUGACAUCCUCGGAACUUGUCAGAAAUGACUUGGUGCCUUCGGGGACCGAGUGACAGGUGCUGCAUGGCUGUCGUCAGCUCGUGUCGUGAGAUGUUGGGUUAAGUCCCGCAACGAGCGCAACCCUUGUCCUUAGUUGCCAUCAGUUCGGCUGGGAACUCUAAGGAGACUGCCGGUGAUAAACCGGAGGAAGGUGGGGAUGACGUCAAGUCAUCAUGGCCCUUAUGGGGUGGGCUACACACGUGCUACAAUGGUCGGUACAAAGGGUUGCCAAGUCGCAAGGCGGAGCUAAUCCCACAAAGCCGAUCGUAGUCCGGAUUGGGGUCUGCAACUCGACCCCAUGAAGUCGGAAUCGCUAGUAAUCGCGAAUCAGAAUGUCGCGGUGAAUACGUUCCCGGGCCUUGUACGCACCGCCCGUCACACCAUGGGAGUGGGCUGCAAAAGAAGUAGGUAGCUUAACCUUCGGGAGGGCGCUUACCACUUUGUGGUUCAUGACUGGGGUGAAGUCGUAACAAGGUA
Molecule: ribosomal RNA, 1496 nt
Filed under: metagenome
Description: bacterial SSU rRNA
Rfam family: Bacterial small subunit ribosomal RNA
Source: RNAcentral